This 253-nucleotide ribosomal RNA is filed under the name uncultured bacterium. Its description in RNAcentral is "partial 16S ribosomal RNA". It matches the Rfam family "Bacterial small subunit ribosomal RNA", at positions 524 to 776 of the family's 1533-position model. The record is from RNAcentral.
UACGAGUGCCUCAAGCGUUAUCCGGAAUCAUUGGGCGUAAAGGUUGUGUAGGUGGUUGUAUUAGUCUCUUGUUAAAUUCUUCGGCUUAACCGGGGGCAUGCAAGGGAAACGGUACAACUCGAGGAUGCGAGGGGUCUGCGGAACUCAUAGUGUAGCGGUGAAAUGCGUUGAUAUUAUGGGGAACACCAAAAGCGAAGGCAGCAGACUGGAGCACUCCUGACACUGAAACAAGAAAGCGUGGGUCGCGAAUGGG